RNAcentral lists this ribosomal RNA (227 nucleotides) under uncultured bacterium. Its description in RNAcentral is "partial 16S ribosomal RNA". It matches the Rfam family "Bacterial small subunit ribosomal RNA", at positions 524 to 748 of the family's 1533-position model. The record is from RNAcentral.
UACGAAGGGGGCUAGCGUUGCUCGGAAUUACUGGGCGUAAAGGGAGCGUAGGCGGACAUUUAAGUCAGGGGUGAAAUCCCAGAGCUCAACUCUGGAACUGCCUUUGAUACUGGGUGUCUUGAGUGUGAGAGAGGGUAUGUGGAACUCCGAGUGUAGAGGUGAAAUUCGUAGAUAUUCGGAAGAACACCAGUGGCGAAGGCGACAUACUGGCUCAUUACUGAACGCUG